AACGAACGCUGGCGGCAUGCCUAACACAUGCAAGUCGAACGAGACCUUCGGGUCUAGUGGCGCACGGGUGCGUAACGCGUGGGAAUCUGCCCUUGGGUUCGGAAUAACAGUUGGAAACGACUGCUAAUACCGGAUGAUGACGUAAGUCCAAAGAUUUAUCGCCCAGGGAUGAGCCCGCGUAGGAUUAGCUAGUUGGUGGGGUAAAGGCCUACCAAGGCGACGAUCCUUAGCUGGUCUGAGAGGAUGAUCAGCCACACUGGGACUGAGACACGGCCCAGACUCCUACGGGAGGCAGCAGUGGGGGAUAUUGGACAAUGGGCGAAAGCCUGAUCCAGCAAUGCCGCGUGAGUGAUGAAGGCCUUAGGGUUGUAAAGCUCUUUUACCCGGGAUGAUAAUGACAGUACCGGGAGAAUAAGCCCCGGCUAACUCCGUG
RNAcentral lists this ribosomal RNA (433 nucleotides) under uncultured bacterium. Its description in RNAcentral is "partial 16S ribosomal RNA". It matches the Rfam family "Bacterial small subunit ribosomal RNA", at positions 29 to 507 of the family's 1533-position model. The record is from RNAcentral.